This is a long non-coding RNA of Suricata suricatta (meerkat), 2651 nucleotides long. RefSeq lists it as uncharacterized. The transcript has 2 exons. The record is from RefSeq and is a predicted model, not a curated record. Lineage: Eukaryota; Metazoa; Chordata; Mammalia; Carnivora; Herpestidae.
GAGGCCAUGCCUGUGUUAGAUUGGGGAAACCAAGUGGAGGGUGGGGAGGAGGGGCCUCUGAGAACUCCUAUCUGGUCCUCCCAUCCUAGACAUUACUAAUCGAUCAUGAUCCUUUCCCUCAGAAGUCCUUCACAGUACUCCAGGCGGUGCACUCAGGGAGAUGGAGGCCCAGAGAAGGACAGGCAUUUGCCACACAGGAAGGUGGCAGGACAAAGCCCUCGGUCUGCCUUUUGGGUCAGGCAAGGCUCUCUGUGGCCUCCCAGAGAGAGGCCAGAUAUGCAGAGGAGGAAGCGCUGUCCUUACUGAGGCAGGAGGCCAGCCGCACCGUGUAGCCCCAGUAGAGACCGGCUUUGGUGCGGGGGUCCUGCGAAGACACGACUUUGCCCCGGUAGGUCUUGCUUUCUGGAGAGGAAGCAGAGAGGCUGUGAAGAUGGGGUGAGGGACAAGGAGGUGGAAGGCGGCGGCUCCGAGCCCAAAUGCCGGCCAGGCUGGGAAGUUUCCAGAUACCUGGGAGCUGCUUCUGGUUCAGCUGCACUGUCACCCGAAGUCCAGGCUCCAAGUUCUUAUCAAUCUUCACCUCCUGGGGAGAAGCCCGGAGAAAUGGGUGCUAUUCCCCACAGGACCAGCAGGGGUCACUGCUCUCCCUUAUGUGGGUGAAUAGGGGGAGGAGGCUGGCCAGGUACCUAAGGGCUCCAGGUCAACCUCCGCCCCCUUUCUGUGGCACCUGCCAGUCCUGCUCACAAGAGACCAUUCCUGCAAAAUGACUACCCCAGGACACUAGGUGGAGACGGAUGCUCUGGGCCUGGCACAGAGUAGACAGUGUUUCAUGAGACGAAAUCCCGUCUCUGCUUUGAACAGAAGUGGCCAUGCCACUUCCUAGCUAUAGCAGUUUGAACCGGCCACGUAACCUCUCGGGGCCUCACUCUCUUCAUCUGUCAACUAGGAAACCCUCCAUAAACAACAGCGACUGUUUGAGUGCCCAGGGCCCCGCAUGAGGUAAAUGGACCACGGAUGUCCGCGUUUCAUGCCAAUUCCGAAUUCAGGAUACGGGGCUCUUUCUUUCCCUUUAGAGGUUUCUCAUGUUUCUUCCUUUCGUCUGGGCCUGACUCAUCCUGCUCUGCUUUUAGCCAGUCACUUCUGGUCUGCUCUGUUUUGCGGGGAGGGGUCCCACACAUGGAAGUGUUUGUCUCUGACUCCAGGAGACCUGAGCAGAGCCAGGUGGCCGAGGAGUGUGCCCAGCGUGGGUCUGUGUCCUCCCUGGAGCCGCCCCAGAGGGAUUCAGGGCUGGGGUGGGCUCGGUUUAAGAACGAGAACUAUCUCCUGUUCACUUCCUUUUCAAGAAGCCGUCCACUGGUUCCUGGCUUUAUCUAUUGAGCCCUGUUUCGGGACACUUCUCUGGCCGAAACCUGCCAUCGGGGGAAUUCCAGGCACAGAUGCCUGGGUCCAGGGCUCCCCACUCACAUGAGCCUCCCUGCCCUCCGUAGCCAGGGCGUGUCCCCAACUUGUGUCUUCACCCACCCUCCCAAGUCCUACCUUCUUCAUGCCGCAGUUGACAAAGGACCCGUGGCCUGGCCGGGUGGGCCGGUCCACCACGAUGCCUUCUCUGAACUCGGAUUCCUCAUCCUGACGCAUGUGGUGAGGGCUGUCCAGGGGGUUCAGAAGCCCUGUCAGGGCGGGGAAGGGGGUGCAAAAGCAUGCAGCGGUAUGGAGUUCCAAGUUCCAGGUCACACACCUGCUGCUUGCCGCCUUGCUUGGGGCAGCUCUCCCAAACGUGCCGCAGUUUCUCAGGAUCUGGGGGAUGAUCCAUGGGAAACGAGGGGCAGCCCCCACCUCCCCCAGCCUUACCUGCAAACUGGAGAUCCUGGUGCUUGGGGAAGAACGCUUUCCUUAGGUACCUAGUAAAGAACACAGACCUCAGAAAGUUCCCAGGGGAGGCCACGUCCUGCCUGACCUGCACCUUGACCACCCUCCCCACCUCACCACAUGCAGGCCGGUCUGCCCUUCACCCCCUUACUGCGGACACUCCAGGUACUGUAGGAUCCGGGCCAGCUGCACGCACGCCUGCCCCUUCUUGCCGACGCCCCUGAAUUCACCCUCCACAGUCCUGGAGAGAGAGAGAGGGCUUCCAGAGCCUACUGUGCUCCCUGCCAGAGCUCCUCCACCCAAUCUGACCUCUGAGGUCUCCUGCUUUGUGACUCUUCCCGCCAGAUUCACUGGGGGGCAUUUCAGACCUUUCCCAGCCCAGGCAAGUAGGCAGCGAUAAGAAGGAAGCAAAGCCAACCCUAGCAGCCCCUCCCGGCUCCCUGCGCCCUGGGGCCCUGUUGGCUGGUUCCUCACUUGGCAUCUUGGCCUUCUUCAUCGAACACCACAAUCUCAUCCACGCAGAAGAUGGUGCAGGCCCUGGCAAUCUGGCCAGCCAGGAGGAAUUUUGAGGUCAGCAAAAUAGAUCCAACUCCCGUUCCCAGGCCUCAAUCUCCCCCGGAGGAAGAUGGACCCUGUGGUCUCCAAGGCUCCUGUGAGCAGGGCACACCCCUGGGCAAGACUGGGGACUGGUUAGACACACUGGCCUAAGUUCUUAUGUUGGCUCCGCCCCUUACUGCCUCCGUUUCCAGCUGUCAAAUGGGGAUAAAUAAAGAGAACUAUUAUCGGCA